This 552-nucleotide long non-coding RNA is filed under the name Salmo salar (Atlantic salmon). RNAcentral's name for it is "lncRNA (ENSSSAG00000102765.1, ENSSSAG00000110579.1)". Lineage: Eukaryota; Metazoa; Chordata; Actinopteri; Salmoniformes; Salmonidae. The record is from RNAcentral.
UUAUUUAUUUCACAUCUAGGAUGUGUUGUUUAAGUGUUCCCUUUAUUUUUUUGAGCAGUAUACAUGCUCACCUCUGCCAAUUGGAAACUGUUGCCCGCUUGUCUGUCCCAUUUCCUUAAUAUGUUCUAUUGCGCAGUGGCAAUCAAGACCCAUAACCCCACACUACAACCCUCCAACCCUCCUCCUGUUGCUGCCCAAUAGCUGUCUGAUACAGUUUCCCCCCAGGAGACCAGCUACACCCCCAUCCUCACCCAGGUUGAACCCCCGAUAUCCCCCACCACCCAGGAGACCAGCUACACCCCCAUCCUCAACCAGGUUGAACCCCCGAUAUCCCCCACCACCCAGGAGACCAGCUACACCCCCAUCCUCAACCAGGUUGAACCCCCGAUAUCCCCCACCACCCAGGAGACCAGCUACACCCCCAUCCUCAACCAGGUUGAACCCCCGAUAUCCCCCACCGCCCAGGAGACCAGCUACACCCCCAUCCUCAACCAGGUUGAACUCCGAUAUCCCCCACCACCCAGGAGACCAGCUACACCCCCAUCCUCAACC